AUUGAACGCUGGCGGCAGGCCUAACACAUGCAAGUCGAGCGGAUGAAGGGAGCUUGCUCCUGGAUUCAGCGGCGGACGGGUGAGUAAUGCCUAGGAAUCUGCCUGGUAGUGGGGGAUAACGUCCGGAAACGGGCGCUAAUACCGCAUAAGUCCUGAGGGAGAAAGUGGGGGAUCUUCGGACCUCACGCUAUCAGAUGAGCCUAGGUCGGAUUAGCUAGUUGGUGGGGUAAAGGCCUACCAAGGCGACGAUCCGUAACUGGUCUGAGAGGAUGAUCAGUCACACUGGAACUGAGACACGGUCCAGACUCCUACGGGAGGCAGCAGUGGGGAAUAUUGGACAAUGGGCGAAAGCCUGAUCCAGCCAUGCCGCGGGUGUGAAGAAGGUCUUCGGAUUGUAAAGCACUUUAAGUUGGGAGGAAGGGCAGUAAGUUAAUACCUUGCUGUUUUGACGUUACCAACAGAAUAAGCACCGGCUAACUUCGUG
Molecule: ribosomal RNA, 484 nt
Filed under: uncultured bacterium
Lineage: Bacteria
Description: partial 16S ribosomal RNA
Rfam family: Bacterial small subunit ribosomal RNA
Source: RNAcentral